GGACCGAGGAAGAAAAGGCCUCCUGCGAAACAGUGAAAUAGUGGAGCACAUAGUUAGCAUUGACGACAUGGAGAAGCUAAUGAACCCAAUGCUAAAUCAUUCAGAUCCUGCAAACCAACUAAUCUUACAGGAAAGUAAUGUUGGCUUCAGUUUAUUGAAUGCUUCCUUGGUAAAAAUGCCC
Long non-coding RNA from Triticum dicoccoides, 181 nucleotides. RefSeq lists it as uncharacterized. The transcript is spliced from 3 exons. The record is from RefSeq and is a predicted model, not a curated record. NCBI's taxonomy places the organism in Eukaryota, Viridiplantae, Streptophyta, Magnoliopsida, Poales, Poaceae.